AACAGUUGGAAACGACUGUUAAUACCGCAUAAGACCACAGAGUCGCAUGACUCAGGGGUAAAAACUCCGGUGGUAUGAGAUGGACCCGCGUUCGAUUAGCCAGUUGGCGGGGUAACGGCCCACCAAAGCGACGAUCGAUAGCCGAUUUGAGAGAAUGACCGGCCACAUUGGGACUGAGACACGGCCCAAACUCCUACGGGAGGCAGCAGUGGGGAAUAUUGCACAAUGGGGGGAACCCUGAUGCAGCGACGCCGCGUGAGUGAAGAAGUAUUUCGGUAUGUAAAGCUCUAUCAGCAGGGAAGAAGAUGACGGUACCUGAGUAAGAAGCCCCGGCUAACUACGUGCCAGCAGCCGCGGUAAUACGUAGGGGGCAAGCGUUAUCCGGAUUUACUGGGUGUAAAGGGAGCGCAGACGGCUAUGCAAGUCUGAAGUGAAAGCCCGGGGCUCAACCCCGGGAUUGCUUUGGAAACUGUGUAGCUAGAGUGUCGGAGAGGUAAGCAGAAUUCCCAGUGUAGCGGUGAAAUGC
This 526-nucleotide ribosomal RNA is filed under the name uncultured Lachnospiraceae bacterium. Its description in RNAcentral is "bacterial SSU rRNA". It matches the Rfam family "Bacterial small subunit ribosomal RNA", at positions 145 to 689 of the family's 1533-position model. The record is from RNAcentral. Lineage: Bacteria; Bacillati; Bacillota; Clostridia; Lachnospirales; Lachnospiraceae.